UAACGCGUGGGUAACCUGCCCUUAAGUCUGGGAUACCAUUUGGAAACAGAUGCUAAUACCGGAUAAAAGCUACUUUCGCAUGAAAGAAGUUUAAAAGGCGGCGUAAGCUGUCGCUAAAGGAUGGACCUGCGAUGCAUUAGCUAGUUGGUAAGGUAACGGCUUACCAAGGCGAUGAUGCAUAGCCGAGUUGAGAGACUGAUCGGCCACAUUGGGACUGAGACACGGCCCAAACUCCUACGGGAGGCAGCAGGCUG
This 254-nucleotide ribosomal RNA is filed under the name uncultured Lactobacillus sp. RNAcentral's name for it is "partial 16S ribosomal RNA". It matches the Rfam family "Bacterial small subunit ribosomal RNA", at positions 111 to 354 of the family's 1533-position model. The record is from RNAcentral. Lineage: Bacteria; Bacillati; Bacillota; Bacilli; Lactobacillales; Lactobacillaceae.